UACAGAGGUCUCAAGCGUUGUUCGGAUUCAUUGGGCGUAAAGGGUGCGUAGGCGGCGCGGUAAGUCGGGUGUGAAAUCUCGGAGCUUAACUCCGAAACUGCAUUCGAUACUGCCGUGCUUGAGGACUGGAGAGGAGACUGGAAUUUACGGUGUAGCGGUGAAAUGUGUAGAGAUCGGGAGGAACACCGGUGGCGAAGGCGGGUCUCUGGGCAUCUCCUGACGCUGAGGCGCGAAAGCGUGGGGAGCAAACGGG
Molecule: ribosomal RNA, 253 nt
Filed under: uncultured bacterium
Lineage: Bacteria
Description: partial 16S ribosomal RNA
Rfam family: Bacterial small subunit ribosomal RNA
Source: RNAcentral